GACGAACGCUGGCGGCGUGCUUAACACAUGCAAGUCGAACGGAAAGGCCCUGCUUUUGUGGGGUGCUCGAGUGGCGAACGGGUGAGUAACACGUGAGUAACCUGCCCUUGACUUUGGGAUAACUUCAGGAAACUGGGGCUAAUACCGGAUAGGAGCUCCUGCUGCAUGGUGGGGGUUGGAAAGUUUCGGCGGUUGGGGAUGGACUCGCGGCUUAUCAGCUUGUUGGUGGGGUAGUGGCUUACAAAGGCUUUGACGGGUAGCCGGCCUGAGAGGGUGACCGGCCACAUUGGGACUGAGAUACGGCCCAAACUCCUACGGGAGGCAGCAGUGGGGAGUAUUGCACAAUGGGCGGAAGCCUAAUGCAGCAACGCCGCGUGCGGGAUGACGGCCUUCGGGUUGGAAACCGCUUUCGCCUGUGACGAAGCGUGAGUGACGGUAAUGGGUAAAGAAGCACCGGCGAACUACGU
Molecule: ribosomal RNA, 467 nt
Filed under: uncultured bacterium
Lineage: Bacteria
Description: partial 16S ribosomal RNA
Rfam family: Bacterial small subunit ribosomal RNA
Source: RNAcentral